AGUGAACGCUGGCGGUAGGCCUAACACAUGCCAGUCGAACGGCAGCACAGUAAGAGCUUGCUCUUACGGGUGGCGAGUGGCGGACGGGUGAGGAAUACAUCGCAAUCUACUUUUUCGUGGGGGAUAACGUAGGGAAACUUACGCUAAUACCGCAUACGACCUACGGGUGAAAGCAGGGGAUCUUCGGACCUUGCGCGAUUGAAUGAGCCGAUGUCGGAUUAGCUAGUUGGCGGGGUAAAGGCCCACCAAGGCGACGAUCCGUAGCUGGUCUGAGAGGAUGAUCAGCCACACUGGAACUGAGACACGGUCCAGACUCCUACGGGAGGCAGCAGUGGGGAAUAUUGGACAAUGGGCGCAAGCCUGAUCCAGCCAUACCGCGUGGGUGAAGAAGGCCUUCGGGUUGUAAAGCCCUUUUGUUGGGAAAGAAAAGCAGCAGGUUAAUACCCCGCUGUUCUGACGGUACCCAAAGAAUAAGCACCGGCUAACUUCGUG
RNAcentral lists this ribosomal RNA (492 nucleotides) under uncultured bacterium. RNAcentral's name for it is "partial 16S ribosomal RNA". It matches the Rfam family "Bacterial small subunit ribosomal RNA", at positions 29 to 507 of the family's 1533-position model. The record is from RNAcentral.